AAGCUUGAUGAUGAAGAGAUCGCGUCCUACAUCCUCGCCGGCCUUGAUGUGGAUUUUAGUCCUGUCAUCUCUAUCGUGGCGAGGCGCACUGAACCCGUCACCCUUGAUGAGCUGUACACACAACUUGUCAGCUGGGAGC
RNAcentral lists this small nucleolar RNA (139 nucleotides) under Sorghum bicolor (sorghum). RNAcentral's name for it is "Small nucleolar RNA Z247". It matches the Rfam family "Small nucleolar RNA Z247". Rfam says of the family: Z247 is a member of the C/D class of snoRNA which contain the C (UGAUGA) and D (CUGA) box motifs. Most of the members of the box C/D family function in directing site-specific 2'-O-methylation of substrate RNAs. Lineage: Eukaryota; Viridiplantae; Streptophyta; Magnoliopsida; Poales; Poaceae. The record is from Rfam by way of RNAcentral.